Molecule: ribosomal RNA, 497 nt
Filed under: uncultured bacterium
Lineage: Bacteria
Description: partial 16S ribosomal RNA
Rfam family: Bacterial small subunit ribosomal RNA
Source: RNAcentral
GAUGAACGCUGGCGGCGUGCCUAAUACAUGCAAGUCGAGCGAACGGACGAGAAGCUUGCUUCUCUGAUGUUAGCGGCGGACGGGUGAGUAACACGUGGAUAACCUACCUAUAAGACUGGGAUAACUUCGGGAAACCGGAGCUAAUACUGGAUAAUAUUUUGAACCGCAUGGUUCAAAAGUGAAAGACGGUCUUGCUGUCACUUAUAGAUGGAUCCGCGCUGCAUUAGCUAGUUGGUAAGGUAACGGCUUACCAAGGCAACGAUGCAUAGCCGACCUGGGAGGGUGAUCGGCCACACUGGAACUGAGACACGGUCCAGACUCCUACGGGAGGCAGCAGUAGGGAAUCUUCCGCAAUGGGCGAAAGCCUGACGGAGCAACGCCGCGUGAGUGAUGAAGGUCUUCGGAUCGUAAAACUCUGUUAUUAGGGAAGAACAUAUGUGUAAGUAACUGUGCACAUCUUGACGGUACCUAAUCAGAAAGCCACGGCUAACUACGUG